UUACGGCCGUAUCACGUUGAAACACCGUUUCUCGUCCGAUCACCAAAGUUAAGCAACGUUGAGCCUGGUCAGUACCUAGAUAAGUGACCGCUUGGAAAUACCAGGUUCUGUAAG
Non-coding RNA from Acanthosepion pharaonis, 114 nucleotides. Lineage: Eukaryota; Metazoa; Mollusca; Cephalopoda; Sepiida; Sepiidae. The record is from the annotation of a GenBank genome assembly.